RNAcentral lists this ribosomal RNA (400 nucleotides) under Neoentobdella natans. RNAcentral's name for it is "eukaryotic LSU rRNA". It matches the Rfam family "Eukaryotic large subunit ribosomal RNA", at positions 72 to 440 of the family's 3401-position model. Lineage: Eukaryota; Metazoa; Platyhelminthes; Monogenea; Capsalidea; Capsalidae. The record is from RNAcentral.
GGAUUCUCUAAGUAACGGCGAGUGAAAAGAGAUUAGCCCAACAUCGAAGCUUACGUACAUAUUGUAUGGGAAGCAAUGUGAUGUUAAGGUGUUCAUUUAAGCAGUGUGGCCAACUUGAAGUCCAAUUUUGAAUGUGGCAUUGUGUAUUAACCCAUAGAUGGUGAAAGGCCCGUUCAGGUUGGUGGUCAGAUAUGAGAGAACUGCUUGAUGGUGUUCACCUUGGAGUCGGAUUGCUUGAGAGUGCAGUCCAAAGUUGGUGGUAAACUCCAUCAAAGGCUAAAUACCUGUACGAGUCCGAUAGUUAACAAGUACCGUGAGGGAAAGUUGAAAAGUACUCUGAAGAGAGAGUAAACAGUACGUGAAACUACUGGGAGGUUAACCAGAUAAAGUCAAGCUGCUU